UUGCACCUGAUUGACGAUGGAUCACCAGUGAGUGGCGGACGGGUGAGUAACACGUAGGUAACCUGCCCCGGAGCGGGGGAUAACAUUUGGAAACAGAUGCUAAUACCGCAUAACAACAAAAGCCACAUGGCUUUUGUUUGAAAGAUGGCUUUGGCUAUCACUCUGGGAUGGACCUGCGGUGCAUUAGCUAGUUGGUAAGGUAACGGCUUACCAAGGCGAUGAUGCAUAGCCGAGUUGAGAGACUGAUCGGCCACAAUGGAACUGAGACACGGUCCAUACUCCUACGGGAGGCAGCAGUAGGGAAUCUUCCACAAUGGGCGCAAGCCUGAUGGAGCAACACCGCGUGAGUGAAGAAGGGUUUCGGCUCGUAAAGCUCUGUUGUUGGAGAAGAACGUGCGUGAGAGUAACUGUUCACGCAGUGACGGUAUCCAACCAGAAAGUCACGGCUAACUACGUGCCAGCAGCCGCGGUAAUACGUAGGUGGCAAGCGUUAUCCGGAUUUAUUGGGCGUAAAGCGAGCGCAGGCGGUUGCUUAGGUCUGAUGUGAAAGCCUUCGGCUUAACCGAAGAAGUGCAUCGGAAACCGGGCGACUUGAGUGCAGAAGAGGACAGUGGAACUCCAUGUGUAGCGGUGGAAUGCGUAGAUAUAUGGAAGAACACCAGUGGCGAAGGCGGCUGUCUGGUCUGCAACUGACGCUGAGGCUCGAAAGCAUGGGUAGCGAACAGGAUUAGAUACCCUGGUAGUCCAUGCCGUAAACGAUGAGUGCUAGGUGUUGGAGGGUUUCCGCCCUUCAGUGCCGGAGCUAACGCAUUAAGCACUCCGCCUGGGGAGUACGACCGCAAGGUUGAAACUCAAAGGAAUUGACGGGGGCCCGCACAAGCGGUGGAGCAUGUGGUUUAAUUCGAAGCUACGCGAAGAACCUUACCAGGUCUUGACAUCUUGCGCUAACCUUAGAGAUAAGGCGUUCCCUUCGGGGACGCAAUGACAGGUGGUGCAUGGUCGUCGUCAGCUCGUGUCGUGAGAUGUUGGGUUAAGUCCCGCAACGAGCGCAACCCUUGUUACUAGUUGCCAGCAUUAAGUUGGGCACUCUAGUGAGACUGCCGGUGACAAACCGGAGGAAGGUGGGGACGACGUCAGAUCAUCAUGCCCCUUAUGACCUGGGCUACACACGUGCUACAAUGGACGGUACAACGAGUCGCAAGCUCGCGAGAGUAAGCUAAUCUCUUAAAGCCGUUCUCAGUUCGGACUGUAGGCUGCAACUCGCCUACACGAAGUCGGAAUCGCUAGUAAUCGCGGAUCAGCAUGCCGCGGUGAAUACGUUCCCGGGCCUUGUACACACCGCCCGUCACACCAUGGGAGUU
RNAcentral lists this ribosomal RNA (1361 nucleotides) under Limosilactobacillus reuteri. Its description in RNAcentral is "bacterial SSU rRNA". It matches the Rfam family "Bacterial small subunit ribosomal RNA", at positions 62 to 1412 of the family's 1533-position model. The record is from RNAcentral. Lineage: Bacteria; Bacillati; Bacillota; Bacilli; Lactobacillales; Lactobacillaceae.